UACGUAGGGUGCAAGCGUUGUCCGGAAUUAUUGGGCGUAAAGAGCUCGUAGGCGGUUUGUCGCGUCUGCCGUGAAAGUCCGGGGCUCAACUCCGGAUCUGCGGUGGGUACGGGCAGACUAGAGUGAUGUAGGGGGAGACUGGAAUUCCUGGUGUAGCGGUGAAAUGCGCAGAUAUCAGGAGGAACACCGAUGGCGAAGGCAGGUCUCUGGGCCACUACUGACGCUGAGAAGCGAAAGCAUGGGGAGCGAACAGG
Molecule: ribosomal RNA, 254 nt
Filed under: uncultured bacterium
Lineage: Bacteria
Description: partial 16S ribosomal RNA
Rfam family: Bacterial small subunit ribosomal RNA
Source: RNAcentral